RNAcentral lists this long non-coding RNA (612 nucleotides) under Olea europaea (common olive). Its description in RNAcentral is "long non-coding RNA (OEUR_LNC000914)". The record is from RNAcentral. Lineage: Eukaryota; Viridiplantae; Streptophyta; Magnoliopsida; Lamiales; Oleaceae.
GCAUAUAAUUAUUUUUCAUGACUUUUUGUCGAACCCCAUCUACACGCACACACGCAGUCAAAAUUCAUUUGGAAUUUUAAGAAUUCGUCAAUCGUCGUGAAAUUAUAAUUAGAAGGACCUGAAUUUCUAUUUCUUUAUCAGAUUUGAAAAAAAAUCCGGUUUCAGUACCAGUUCAAUGGAGGAUCAAUCGAGAUUUUCUUACGUAAAGAAGCAAAAGGCAUCGUUUAAUAAUCAAAGGCCGGAAUCAUUCGCCGGCGAUUAUGACUUCGGAGAGAGUACUGAUCGGCGAUUCGCAUACUCCCGGCAAGCCUCAUUCCGUCAGUCAACCUCCACUGCUGAGCCUCAUACUCCAAUAUCGAUAAAUCCGUCAAACGGUUAUUUUUUGCACAACUCUGCUGAGGAUAAACUGUAUUCAUUUGGAAUUUUAAGAAUUCGUCAAUCGUCGUGAAAUUAUAAUUAGAAGGACCUGAAUUUCUAUUUCUUUAUCAGAUUUGAAAAAAAAUCCGGUUUCAGUACCAGUUCAAUGGAGGAUCAAUCGAGAUUUUCUUACGUAAAGAAGCAAAAGGCAUCGUUUAAUAAUCAAAGGCCGGAAUCAUUCGCCGGCGAUUAUGA